GACGAACGCUGGCGGCGUGCCUAACACAUGCAAGUCGAACGGAAAGGCCCUGCUCUUGCUCCUUUCUCGAGUGGCGAACGGGUGAGUAUCACGCGAGUAACCUGCCCUUGUCUUUGGGAUAACUUCAGGAAACUGGGGCUAAUACCGGAUAUGAGCUCUUGCUGCAUGGUGGUGGUUGGAAAGUUUCGGCGGUUGGGGAUGGACUCGCGGCAUCUGAGCUUGUUGGUUGGGUAGGGGUUUACCAAGGCUUUGACGGGUAGCCGGCCUGAGAAGGUGACCACGCACAUUGGUCCUGCGGUAAGCACCAGACUGGUACGUGACGCAACAGUGGGGAGCAUUGCGGAACGGGCCGACGCGUGAGGUAAAGACCUUGCGUGCGGGAUGACAGCCUUCGAGUUGUAAACAGCUUUCGACUGUGACGAAGACGGCGUGACGGUACUGAGUCAAGAAGCACCGGCUAACUACGUG
Molecule: ribosomal RNA, 468 nt
Filed under: uncultured bacterium
Lineage: Bacteria
Description: partial 16S ribosomal RNA
Rfam family: Bacterial small subunit ribosomal RNA
Source: RNAcentral